RNAcentral lists this ribosomal RNA (460 nucleotides) under uncultured bacterium. Its description in RNAcentral is "partial 16S ribosomal RNA". It matches the Rfam family "Bacterial small subunit ribosomal RNA", at positions 338 to 795 of the family's 1533-position model. The record is from RNAcentral.
CCUACGGGGGGCUGCAGUGAGGAAUAUUGGUCAAUGGCCGAGAGGCUGAACCAGCCAAGUCGCGUGAGGGAAGACGGCCCUACGGGUUGUAAACCUCUUUUGUCGGGGAGCAAAGCGAACCACGUGUGGUUCAUUGAGAGUACCCGAAGAAAAAGCAUCGGCUAACUCCGUGCCAGCAGCCGCGGUAAUACGGAGGAUGCGAGCGUUAUCCGGAAUGACUGGGCGUAAAGGGUGCGUAGGUGGUUUGGCAAGUUAGUAGCGUAACUCCAAGGCUCAACCUUGGAACUACUACUAAAACUGUUGGACUUGAGUGCAGGAGGGGCAACCGGAAUUCCUAGUGUAGCGGUGGAAUGCGUAGAUAUUAGGAGGAACACCAGUGGCGAAGGCGGGUUGCUAGACUGUAACUGACACUGAGGCACGAAAGCGUGGGGAGCAAACAGGAUUAGAUACCCUUGUAGUC